RNAcentral lists this ribosomal RNA (490 nucleotides) under uncultured bacterium. RNAcentral's name for it is "partial 16S ribosomal RNA". It matches the Rfam family "Bacterial small subunit ribosomal RNA", at positions 30 to 507 of the family's 1533-position model. The record is from RNAcentral.
AUUGAACGCUGGCGGCAGGCUUAACACAUGCAAGUCGAGCGGUAGCACAGGGGAGCUUGCUCCCUGGGUGACGAGCGGCGGACGGGUGAGUAAUGUCUGGGAAACUGCCUGAUGGAGGGGGAUAACUACUGGAAACGGUAGCUAAUACCGCAUAACGUCGCAAGACCAAAGAGGGGGACCUUCGGGCCUCUUGCCAUCAGAUGUGCCCAGAUGGGAUUAGCUAGUAGGUGGGGUAAUGGCUCACCUAGGCGACGAUCCCUAGCUGGUCUGAGAGGAUGACCCGCCACACUGGAACUGAGACACGGUCCAGACUCCUACGGGAGGCAGCAGUGGGGAAUAUUGCACAAUGGGCGCAAGCCUGAUGCAGCCAUGCCGCGUGUGUGAAGAAGGCCUUCGGGUUGUAAAGCACUUUCAGCGAGGAGGAAGGUGGUGAGCUUAAUACGUUCAUCAAUUGACGUUACUCGCAGAAGAAGCACCGGCUAACUCCGUG